AUUUGUUCUUGUGGAAGAAGACUCCCAGCAGGAGUCUUCAAUGUUCUUCCUCUUCUUUUUUUUUCUUGGGCUUUCAAGGUUUAGGCUUGGUCCAGGGCCUAAAUGGAGUGGGUAUUACAUUCUCCCUUCCUUAAAAUAAUUCAUCCUCAAAAUUAAGUUACGUUGUUUGAGAUAUAUUCUUAAAAAUAUACAUGCAUCAUGUCAUUUUCACGCUUUCGAUAAUGUCUUACAUAUUAUUUAUUUCUCAUGAUUUUGUUAUA
Molecule: long non-coding RNA, 260 nt
Filed under: Elaeis guineensis (African oil palm)
Lineage: Eukaryota; Viridiplantae; Streptophyta; Magnoliopsida; Arecales; Arecaceae
Description: long non-coding RNA (EGUI_LNC018189)
Source: RNAcentral